RNAcentral lists this long non-coding RNA (635 nucleotides) under Fukomys damarensis (Damara mole-rat). RNAcentral describes it as "lncRNA (ENSFDAG00000028810.1)". Lineage: Eukaryota; Metazoa; Chordata; Mammalia; Rodentia; Bathyergidae. The record is from RNAcentral.
CUGAUAUAUUGCAAGUUUUUAAACAGUGUCUCAUGAAUAAGUAUAUAUUGAAGUAGUCUAUGAGCAAAUUAAUUUUUUAAGGAAAGGAGAGCCCUACACUGCACGUCAGGAACUUGGAAAAUGAUUAACCCAGCCCUCUGUACCUGAAGUCAGAUAGGACAGAAGCAUAGAGCGGAGAAGUGAAAGAGAGGAAUAGCGGAGGUGAGGAGGGCUCUGGCAGUAGCGGAGGAAGCGGGGUCCUUGUCUCCUCCUGAGCGAGGGGAGCCUCUGGAGUGAGGUUCUGUCUGCGUGGAGACCAGAAGGAUGGAGGACGUUCCAGACCGGGCUUCCGGGAAGGCCAGAAGCAGAGCUGAGACACUAGCAGGAAAGCGCGUCGCCUGCCGCAGGAGGGCCAGGUGGACAGAAUCAGGGAAGCCACCACCCGCACAGUCACCUACAGAGAUCACCCGGAGUAGAACGUGGCCACCAGCGUCUGCGUGGGAGCCUGCGGUCAAAAUGCGAGGGAUGGAGUUAAAAGCUCUUUACUAAACCAAGCACACAGACAAGCAGGUAAGUUCUACCAACAAAAGUAUUUUCUGAAUCAAAGGUGAACUCAAACCAACCAACAGAAGCCUUCACUCCUAUGCAGAAAGCUG